ACUCCUACGGGAGGCAGCAGUGGGGAAUAUUGGACAAUGGGGGGAACCCUGAUCCAGCCAUGCCGCGUGUGUGAAGAAGGCCUUAUGGUUGUAAAGCACUUUAAGCGAGGAGGAGGCUACUGAGACUAAUACUCUUGGAUAGUGGACGUUACUCGCAGAAUAAGCACCGGCUAACUCCGUGCCAGCAGCCGCGGUAAUACGGAGGGUGCGAGCGUUAAUCGGAAUUACUGGGCGUAAAGCGUACGCAGGCGGUUUGUUAAGCGAGAUGUGAAAGCCCCGGGCUCAACCUGGGAACUGCAUUUCGAACUGGCAAACUAGAGUGUGAUAGAGGGUGGUAGAAUUUCAGGUGUAGCGGUGAAAUGCGUAGAGAUCUGAAGGAAUACCGAUGGCGAAGGCAGCCACCUGGGUCAACACUGACGCUCAUGUACGAAAGCGUGGGGAGCAAACGGGAUUAGAUACCCUGGUAGGCUCUGCU
This 475-nucleotide ribosomal RNA is filed under the name uncultured bacterium. RNAcentral's name for it is "bacterial SSU rRNA". It matches the Rfam family "Bacterial small subunit ribosomal RNA", at positions 335 to 801 of the family's 1533-position model. The record is from RNAcentral.